GCAACGCGAAGAACUUACCUGGGCUUGACAUCCCUGGAAUCCCCCUGGAAACAGGGAGUGCCUUCGGGGAGCCAGGAGACAGGUGCUGCAUGGCUGUCGUCAGCUCGUGUCGUGAGAUGUUGGGUUAAGUCCCGCAACGAGCGCAACCCUUGUCUUUAAUUGCCAUCAUUCAGUUGGGCACUUUAAAGAGACUGCCGGUGUUAAACCAGAGGAAGGUGGGGAUGACGUCAAGUCCUCAUGGCCUUUAUGCCCAGGGCUACACACGUGCUACAAUGGGUGGUACAAAGAGUUGCGAUACCGCGAGGUGGAGCUAACCUCAUAAAGCCGGUCUCAGUUCGGAUUGGAGUCUGCAACUCGACUCCAUGAAGUUGGAAUCGCUAGUAAUCGCGGAUCAGCACGCCGCGGUGAAUACGUUCCCGGGCCUU
Molecule: ribosomal RNA, 425 nt
Filed under: uncultured Geobacter sp.
Lineage: Bacteria; Pseudomonadati; Thermodesulfobacteriota; Desulfuromonadia; Geobacterales; Geobacteraceae
Description: bacterial SSU rRNA
Rfam family: Bacterial small subunit ribosomal RNA
Source: RNAcentral